CGCUAUUGAAACGCACUAAGACGGGAACUUUACAGAUUGGCCCCCCCACCAGAUCCUGUCGGGGCACCAUGGUCGCGUCAACUGUCUGCUGCAUCCCCAUCGGGAGCAUCCCAGAUACGAGAGACAGUUUCUGGUGUCUGGAGGCGUGGACUUUGCCGUCUGUCUCUGGGAUUUAGUCACCGGCUCGCUCAUUCAUCGGUUCUGCGUGCACGCAGGCGAAAUCACGCAGCUGCUGGUGCCGCCGGACAACUGCAGCGCUCGCAUUCAAAAGUGCAUCUGUGCAGUGGCGUCCGACCACUCGGUCACGUUGCUGAGUCUGGCUGAGCGAAAGUGCGUCUGUCUAGCGUCGCGGCACUUGUUUCCAGUCACCACGAUCAAGUGGCGCCC
Molecule: long non-coding RNA, 387 nt
Organism: Dendroctonus ponderosae (mountain pine beetle)
Lineage: Eukaryota; Metazoa; Arthropoda; Insecta; Coleoptera; Curculionidae
Exons: 3
Source: RefSeq, a predicted model, not a curated record